This 403-nucleotide ribosomal RNA is filed under the name Verrucomicrobiota bacterium. RNAcentral's name for it is "Verrucomicrobia bacterium partial 16S ribosomal RNA". It matches the Rfam family "Bacterial small subunit ribosomal RNA", at positions 355 to 776 of the family's 1533-position model. The record is from RNAcentral. Lineage: Bacteria; Pseudomonadati; Verrucomicrobiota.
UGGGGAAUAUUGCACAAUGGGCGCAAGCCUGAUGCAGCAACGCCGCGUGAACGAUGAAGGUCUUCGGAUCGUAAAGUUCUGUUGCAGGGGAAGAUAAUGACGGUACCCUGUGAGGAAGCCCCGGCUAACUACGUGCCAGCAGCCGCGGUAAUACGUAGGGGGCUAGCGUUAUCCGGAUUUACUGGGCGUAAAGGGUGCGUAGGUGGUCUUUCAAGUCGGUGGUUAAAGGCUACGGCUCAACCGUAGUUAGCCUCCGAAACUGGAAGACUUGAGUGCAGGAGAGGAAAGUGGAAUUCCCAGUGUAGCGGUGAAAGACGUAGAUAUUGGGAGGAACACCAGUAGCGAAGGCGGCUUUCUGGACUGCAACUGACACUGAGGCACGAACGCGUGGGUAGCAAACAGG